This 245-nucleotide unclassified non-coding RNA is filed under the name uncultured fungus. RNAcentral's name for it is "sequence contains ITS1, 5.8S rRNA gene". The stretch from base 197 to 245 matches the Rfam family "5.8S ribosomal RNA", at positions 1 to 49 of the family's 154-position model. The record is from RNAcentral. Lineage: Eukaryota; Fungi.
UCUCCGUUGGUGAACCAGCGGAGGGAUCAUUAUAGAGUUUUCUAAACUCCCAACCCUUUGUGAACUUACCUUUGUUGCCUCGGGGGGCCGCCCGGGAGUGUCGCGUUCUGCGCGCUCGCCCGGGAGCCACGGCGCCCCGGUGGCCCAAAAAACUCUUGUUUUGUAUGGCCUAUCAGAAAUACUAUCUAAUAGUUAAAACUUUCAGCAACGGAUCUCUUGGUUCUGGCAUCGAUGAAGAACGCAGC